This 1291-nucleotide long non-coding RNA is filed under the name Equus asinus (donkey). RNAcentral describes it as "lncRNA (ENSEASG00005038477.1)". The record is from RNAcentral. Lineage: Eukaryota; Metazoa; Chordata; Mammalia; Perissodactyla; Equidae.
GGAGCAGCCGGGGUUGGGAGGGGGGGGGUUGGGGAGUCUUUGUCUGGGCAUCCGUGGCCUUCAGAGCCUGGUGCAAGGAAGACGUGAGCUGAGCCAGGUGGAAACGGCGUCCCCUCGGACCGCCGCUGAGUGAGGAGACAGGGGAAAGAACCUGUCGGACGCCCAGGACAGAGGCCAGAGCAGGAAAGAGCAUCCAGGUAGGGAGGCCUAGGCAGGCGCCAGACGAGAGGCAUCGCGAUUUCUCGCUCAGGAAAUGGAAUUUGAUGUUUGUUUGAUGUGAAAGGAUGAACUCAGUCCUCAGGGCGGCUGCCAGAUCCCCGUCGGCGGCGGCUUCUGUGCAUUCCCGUUGGUCCCCGUGUGUCCGCGUGUUGUACGUGGGUUUCAUUUAAUCGAAUUCCCCGGGCAGCCUGAGGAUGGAAGAGAAUGCAACGCGUAGAAGGAAGAGCCAUUCGUAUUGGCCACGGUCCUUGAUUAAAACUCACAACCGGGUGCUGGGUCUGCCCCCCUCGGAUCCAGCCGGCUCUUUGCCCCCGUCUUCUGGGUCGCUUAGCUGCACCGGGCCUCCUGGGCUCUCAGCCCCUGGUCCACAUACCCCCCUGGCUUCCUCCAAAACCCUGUGUCACGUGGAGGCUGCCUUUUAUUCCUCCCAAGGGUGUAACGCAAUCUGCAACUCCGGGUCAGACCCUGCAGGGCAACUUGAACUUCGGAAAGUUGAGGUUCGGUCAGUCGACAACCCAUCGUCCCUGCUUGGGCGACGUCACGAUUCCUUAAGGAUCAUCAAGUUGAUGGAGUGGAUGCCGUGAGCCUUUGAAAAACCCAGCCGGUUGAAAAAUACCAGAAGGUGCCCUGAGGCUCCCAGGUCAGAGGGAGGCUCCUCGGAAGUGACGGCUGAGUCGUAGGGAAACCGGAAUGCCCUGGUCAACGGGGCCCCAGGCGCCCCACCCGUGCCUAAGAGCGAGCGAUGUGUCCAACUGGAAAGCGGCAGAGGUGAUUGGGGGGUCACGACCGACUUCGGGCUCCCAGGUCGGGGCGGGGCUCUGCUGUCUGAAUUAUUCUUGCAAACCUGUGAGCGAUUCUGCAGGCUCCCAUGGACUCAGCCCUGCCUGCUGGAUGGAAUCACCCGGGGAGCUUAAGAAACACCAGAGUCGGGCUGCCCCCCAGCCCUGAGAUUCGGACGUAUUUGGUGUUGGGUGAAACCUCAGCAUCAGUUUCCCCGGUGGUGGGUGAAACUCCCAGGAUGCUCUGUGUCCUGAGCUGACUGGCGUUUAGGCUGAAUGGCCGCGUGGGUCCA